Molecule: long non-coding RNA, 1035 nt
Filed under: Homo sapiens (human)
Lineage: Eukaryota; Metazoa; Chordata; Mammalia; Primates; Hominidae
Description: long non-coding RNA NONHSAT172814.1
Source: RNAcentral
GCAGGAGCAGGUCCUGGAGGCCUGGUCGGCGUGGGCGUUUUAUUCCGAGACCAAGGGGAUCCACUGCAGAGUUCUCCGCUGGGCGUGACCUCGGGCUACGGCGUGGGAGGAAGCGCGCGGCAAGACACCCAGCGAGGUGCUGGGGUCGCCCCCAGGAGAGGACGGCGGCUCGGACUGUCCGGCGGCGGCGGCGGGGACAGCGACAGGGGCGCGAGGUGCCUUGGCAUCUCCCAAUGGGGUGGCUUUGCUCUGGGCUCCUGUUCCCUGUGAGCUGCCUGGUCCUGCUGCAGGUGGCAAGCUCUGGGAACAUGAAGGUCUUGCAGGAGCCCACCUGCGUCUCCGACUACAUGAGCAUCUCUACUUGCGAGUGGAAGAUGAAUGGUCCCACCAAUUGCAGCACCGAGCUCCGCCUGUUGUACCAGCUGGUUUUUCUGCUCUCCGAAGCCCACACGUGUAUCCCUGAGAACAACGGAGGCGCGGGGUGCGUGUGCCACCUGCUCAUGGAUGACGUGGUCAGUGCGGAUAACUAUACACUGGACCUGUGGGCUGGGCAGCAGCUGCUGUGGAAGGGCUCCUUCAAGCCCAGCGAGCAUGUUCAGAAUCUAUAACGUGACCUACCUAGAACCCUCCCUCCGCAUCGCAGCCAGCACCCUGAAGUCUGGGAUUUCCUACAGGGCACGGGUGAGGGCCUGGGCUCAGUGCUAUAACACCACCUGGAGUGAGUGGAGCCCCAGCACCAAGUGGCACAACUCCUACAGGGAGCCCUUCGAGCAGCACCUCCUGCUGGGCGUCAGCGUUUCCUGCAUUGUCAUCCUGGCCGUCUGCCUGUUGUGCUAUGUCAGCAUCACCAAGAUUAAGAAAGAAUGGUGGGAUCAGAUUCCCAACCCAGCCCGCAGCCGCCUCGUGGCUAUAAUAAUCCAGGAUGCUCAGGGGUCACAGUGGGAGAAGCGGUCCCGAGGCCAGGAACCAGCCAAGUGCCCACACUGGAAGAAUUGUCUUACCAAGCUCUUGCCCUGUUUUCUGGAGCACAACAUG